RNAcentral lists this long non-coding RNA (1148 nucleotides) under Pelobates cultripes (western spadefoot toad). Lineage: Eukaryota; Metazoa; Chordata; Amphibia; Anura; Pelobatidae. The record is from RNAcentral.
AAUAAUAAUACCCACUCCUGGAAGGCUUCUUGCUGCAGUGAGAGGGGGGCAGGUAACACACCGGAUCCUUACUGGCCCAUUCCGUCUGUAAGGCUGACAGCAUUCUCUGAGGGGGAACCUCUUCAGAACUGGAUGUAAUCACCAUCGAUAAGUCCGAUCCACAAGUCAAUCCAAACAAGACAUGGGAUAAUCGGUCACAGCGAGUCAGGGAUCCUGAGAGCCAGGAGGGGUGUCCUGUCUACUAAGGUUUCGGCCGGCCGGCCAGUCAGGUUAUCCGGUAAAGGUUUCAGCCGGCCGGUCAGUCAGGAUAUCCGGUAAAUGUUUCGACCGGUCAGUCAGGAUAUUCGGUAAAGGUGUCGGUCAGUCAGUCGGUAUAUUCGGUAAAGGUUUCGGUCAGUCAGGAUAUUCGGUAAAGGUUUCGGUCAGUCAGUAUAUUCGGUAAAGGUUUCGGUCGGUCAGUCAGGAUAUUCGGUAAAGGUUUCGGUCGGUCAGUCAGUAUAUUCGGUAAAGGUUUCGGUCGGUCAGUCAGGAUAUUCGGUAAAGGUUUCGGUCAGUCAGGAUAUUCGGUAAAGGUUUCGGUCGGUCAGUCAGGAUAUUCGGUAAAGGUUUCGGCCGGUCAGUCAGGAUAUUCGGUAAAGGUUUCGGUCAGUCAGGAUAUUCGGUAAAGGUUUCGGUCAGUCAGGAUAUUCGGUAAAGGUUUCGGUCAGUCAGUAUAUUCGGUAAAGGUUUCGGUCGGUCAGUCAGGAUAUUCGGUAAAGGUUUCGGUCAGUCAGGAUAUUCGGUAAAGGUUUCGGUCGGUCAGUCAGGAUAUUCGGUAAAGGUUUCGGCCGGUCAGUCAGGAUAUUCGGUAAAGGUUUCGGUCAGUCAGGAUAUUCGGUAAAGGUUUCGGUCAGUCAGGAUAUUCGGUAAAGGUUUCGGUCAGUCAGUAUAUUCGGUAAAGGUUUUGGCCGGUCAGUCAGGAUAUUCGGUAAAGGUUUCGGUCAGUCAGUAUAUUCGGUAAAGGUUUCGGUCGGUCAGUCAGGAUAUUCGGUAAAGGUUUCGGUCAGUCAGGAUAUUCAGUAAAGGUUUCGGUCGGUCAGGAUAUUCAGUAAAGGUUUCGGCCGGUCAGUCAGGAUAUUCGGUAAAGGUUUCGGCCGGUCAGUCAGGAU